This 31-nucleotide non-coding RNA is filed under the name Mus musculus (house mouse). The record is from RNAcentral. Lineage: Eukaryota; Metazoa; Chordata; Mammalia; Rodentia; Muridae.
UCCAGCGGCUUAGCUGUGUUUUGGUUUGGGU